UGAGGAAUAUUGGUCAAUGGGCGAGAGCCUGAACCAGCCAAGUAGCGUGCGGGAUGAAGGCCCUUGUGGUCGUAAACCGCUUUUAUCAGUGAAUAAAGUGCACCACGUGUGGUGUCAUUGCAGGUAGCUGAAGAAAAAGGACCGGCUAAUUCCGUGCCAGCAGCCGCGGUAAUACGGAAGGUCCGGGCGUUAUCCGGAAUUAUUGGGUUUAAAGGGAGCGCAGGCGGGAGUAUAAGUCAGCUGUUAAAUAUCAGAGCCCAACUCUGUUAUGCAGUUGAAACUAUAUUUCUUGAGUACGCACAGGGAUGGUGGAAUUCAGGGUGUAGCGGUGAAAUGCUUAGAUAUCCUGAAGAACUCCGAUCGCGAAGGCAGCCAUCCGGAGCGUAACUGACGCUGAGGCUCGAAGGUGCGGGUAUCGAACAGGAUUAGAUACCCUGGUAGUCCGCACGGUAAACGAUGAAUACUCGCAGUUCGGCCGUUUAGGUCGAGUUGUCCAGCGAAAGCGUUAAGUAUUCCACCUGGGGAGUACGCCGGCAACGGUG
RNAcentral lists this ribosomal RNA (542 nucleotides) under uncultured bacterium. Its description in RNAcentral is "bacterial SSU rRNA". It matches the Rfam family "Bacterial small subunit ribosomal RNA", at positions 355 to 896 of the family's 1533-position model. The record is from RNAcentral.